This 497-nucleotide ribosomal RNA is filed under the name uncultured bacterium. Its description in RNAcentral is "partial 16S ribosomal RNA". It matches the Rfam family "Bacterial small subunit ribosomal RNA", at positions 28 to 507 of the family's 1533-position model. The record is from RNAcentral.
GAUGAACGCUGGCGGCGUGCCUAAUACAUGCAAGUCGAGCGAACAGACGAGGAGCUUGCGCCUCUGACGUUAGCGGCGGACGGGUGAGUAACACGUGGAUAACCUACCUAUAAGACGGGGAUAACUUCGGGAAACCGGAGCUAAUACCGGAUAAUAUAUUCAACCGCAUGGUUCAGUAGUGAAAGACGGUUUUGCUGUCACUUAUAGAUGGAUCCGUGCCGCAUUAGCUAGUUGGUAAGGUAACGGCUUACCAAGGCAACGAUGCGUAGCCGACCUGAGAGGGUGAUCGGCCACACUGGAACUGAGACACGGUCCAGACUCCUACGGGAGGCAGCAGUAGGGAAUCUUGCGCAAUGGGCGAAAGCUUGACGGAGCAACGCCGCGUGAGUGAUGAAGGCCUUCGGAUCGUAAAACUCUGUUAUUAGGGAAGAAAAAAUGUGUAAGUAACUAUGCACGUCUUGACGGUACCUAAACAGAAAGCCACGGCUAACUACGUG